UACGUAGGGUGCAAGCGUUAAUCGGAAUUACUGGGCGUAAAGCGUGCGCAGGCGGUUUAAUAAACCAAAUAUAAAAUCCCCAAACUCAACUUAAAAACUACGUUUGGAACUGUCAGACUAAAGUGCGUCAGAGGGGGGCGGAAUUCCGCGUAUAGCAGUGAAAUGCGUAGAGAUGCGGAGGAACACCGAUGGCGAAGGCAGCCCCCUGGGAUGACACUGACGCUCAUGCACGAAAGCGUGGGGAGCAAACAGG
This 253-nucleotide ribosomal RNA is filed under the name uncultured bacterium. RNAcentral's name for it is "partial 16S ribosomal RNA". It matches the Rfam family "Bacterial small subunit ribosomal RNA", at positions 524 to 776 of the family's 1533-position model. The record is from RNAcentral.